Molecule: ribosomal RNA, 558 nt
Filed under: uncultured bacterium
Lineage: Bacteria
Description: partial 16S ribosomal RNA
Rfam family: Bacterial small subunit ribosomal RNA
Source: RNAcentral
UGGGGAAUUUUGGACAAUGGGCGAAAGCCUGAUCCAGCAAUGCCGCGUGUGUGAAGAAGGCCUUCGGGUUGUAAAGCACUUUUGUCCGGAAAGAAAUCCUUGGCUCUAAUACAGUCGGGGGAUGACGGUACCGGAAGAAUAAGCACCGGCUAACUACGUGCCAGCAGCCGCGGUAAUACGUAGGGUGCAAGCGUUAAUCGGAAUUACUGGGCGUAAAGCGUGCGCAGGCGGUUUGCUAAGACCGAUGUGAAAUCCCCGGGCUCAACCUGGGAACUGCAUUGGUGACUGGCAGGCUAGAGUAUGGCAGAGGGGGGUAGAAUUCCACGUGUAGCAGUGAAAUGCGUAGAGAUGUGGAGGAAUACCGAUGGCGAAGGCAGCCCCCUGGGCCAAUACUGACGCUCAUGCACGAAAGCGUGGGGAGCAAACAGGAUUNGAUACCCUGGUAGUCCACGCCCUAAAACGAUGUCAACUAGUUGUUGGGGAUUCAUUUCCUAGUAACGUAGCUAACGCGUGAAGUUGACCGCCUGGGGGAGUACGGUCGCAAGAUUAAAACUCAAA